AGUGAACGCUGGCGGCGUGCUUAACACAUGCAAGUCGAACGGUAACAGGAACUAGCUUGCUAGUUUGCUGACGAGUGGCGCACGGGUGAGUAAUAUAUAGUUAAUGUACCCCAAAGACUGGGAUAGCCACUGGAAACGGUGAUUAAUACUAGAUACACCUCUUUAACAUAAGUUAGAGAGGGAAAUGUCUUUUCGCUUUGGGAUCAGACUAUAUCCUAUCAGUUAGUUGGUGAGGUAAUGGCUCACCAAGGCAAUGACGGGUAGCGGGUUUGAGAGGAUGAUCCGCCACACUGGUACUGAGACACGGACCAGACUCCUACGGGAGGCAGCAGUGAGGAAUAUUGCACAAUGGAGGAAACUCUGAUGCAGCAACGCCGCGUGGAGGAUGACGCAUUUCGGUGUGUAAACUCCUUUUAUGAGUCAAGAAAAUGACGGUAGCUCAUGAAUAAGCACCGGCUAACUCCGUGCCAGCAGCCGACGG
Molecule: ribosomal RNA, 481 nt
Filed under: uncultured bacterium
Lineage: Bacteria
Description: bacterial SSU rRNA
Rfam family: Bacterial small subunit ribosomal RNA
Source: RNAcentral